ACGCUCGACACCUACGGGGGCAGCAGUGGGGAAUAUUGCACAAUGGGGGAAACCCUGAUGCAGCGACGCCGCGUGGAGGAAGAAGGUCUUCGGAUUGUAAACUCCUGUUGUUGGGGAAAAAGAGGAUGGUACCCAACAAGGAAGUGACGGCUAACUACGUGCCAGCAGCCACGGUAAUCUGAGCGGGCUGGCAAGGC
This 197-nucleotide ribosomal RNA is filed under the name uncultured bacterium. RNAcentral describes it as "partial 16S ribosomal RNA". It matches the Rfam family "Bacterial small subunit ribosomal RNA", at positions 328 to 539 of the family's 1533-position model. The record is from RNAcentral.